This is a non-coding RNA of Lemur catta (Ring-tailed lemur), 1298 nucleotides long. The record is from the annotation of a RefSeq genome assembly. NCBI's taxonomy places the organism in Eukaryota, Metazoa, Chordata, Mammalia, Primates, Lemuridae.
UUGAGUCACCAAGAGCCCAAGUUCUAUUUCCCCAAAGCAGGGCUGGGAGACACGAGAUUCUGCCCUGGACCUGAAAUGGGCCCCCGGCUCUUCUUCUAUGUGGCCCUUUGUCUCCUGGCAGCAGGACACACGGAUGCUGGAAUCACCCAGAACCCAAGACACAAGGUCACAGAGACAGGAAAGCAGGUGACACUGAAGUGUCACCAGACUGACAACCACGACUAUAUGUACUGGUAUCGACAAGACCUGGGACAUGGGCUGAGGCUGAUCCAUUACUCAUAUGGUGUUCCAACCACUGACAAAGGAGAAGUCUCCGAAGGCUACAAUGUCUCUAGAUCAAACACAGAGGAUUUCCCCCUCACGCUGGAGUCUGCUACCCACUCCCAGACAUCUGUGUACUUCUGUGCCAGCAGUGACUACACAGUGCUGCACGGCUGCCUCCUCUCUGCACAUAAAGAGCAGUGAGAAAGUUUUAGGUUGCCUGUGUCUGGCCCCGCCCAGGGAUGUCCUGGCCUCCAUGGGAGUCCCAGAGCCUUUGCCAGGCUGGGGGCCUUAGGGAAGUGGUUAAUGUGAUCCUCAGCGAGGUCCGUCCCUGAGCCCCUGACCAGAGCUCACCCCAGCAGCCUGAGCUAGCUGGGUCUCUCUCCUGCUGCUCUCUCUUUCUGCUCACAGAAAGAAAAAUGCAUCUUUGGUUGAGAUUGGUGGCAAUUUCUUUGAUCACCUCAAAGCCACCAUGUUGAUUUGAAUUGGAUCUGAAUUUACAAUUUUAAAGGUUAUAUAUUUCCUAAAUCUAUCCAUGGAAUGGUCUAAGAAAUAAUACAAAUUGACUAACUCCUUUCUGUGUUUUGUGGUUGUGUUCUAAGUAGAAAAAGGCAAAGUACUUGAUUUUUAAAUGGUAUUCCCCCAUAAAAGGAACAAAGCACAUCCAGGGCAGAGAAAGUACUGGAACAUCUUUGGGCAGAAAUCAAGCUAAUGUCAGAACCAAGAAGACAUAUACAAAAUCUGUAGACCCAGUUUCUAAGGGCUCCCACUAGCCAAAUAUGGGUCAAUUUAAGCAUUAGAGAAGAAUAAUGAGGAUAAUAGAUUAUAUCAAAUUUUAAAAACAUCUAUGCAGCUAUAAAUAAAAAACAGUAGAUGAGAAUCUCUUUAUUACAGAAGAAUGCCAGUUGAUAUAUUUAAAUAGAAAUCGUUGUAACGAUCAAUGUAGCUAUAGGCAAAAGCUAUCAGUAGAUGCCAAAACCAACAGUUUUUUUCCUACAAUACAGAAAGAAAUAAAACAAAUGUCACAAAAUGUUAAU